RNAcentral lists this ribosomal RNA (460 nucleotides) under uncultured bacterium. RNAcentral's name for it is "partial 16S ribosomal RNA". It matches the Rfam family "Bacterial small subunit ribosomal RNA", at positions 338 to 795 of the family's 1533-position model. The record is from RNAcentral.
CCUACGGGAGGCAGCAGUGAGGAAUAUUGGUCAAUGGACGAGAGUCUGAACCAGCCAAGUAGCGUGAAGGAUGACUGCCCUAUGGGUUGUAAACUUCUUUUAUAUGGGAAUAAAAUGUUCCACGUGUGGGAUUUUGUAUGUACCAUAUGAAUAAGGAUCGGCUAACUCCGUGCCAGCAGCCGCGGUAAUACGGAGGAUCCGAGCGUUAUCCGGAUUUAUUGGGUUUAAAGGGAGCGUAGGUGGAGUGUGAAGUCAGUUGUGAAAGUUUGCGGCUCAACCGUAAAAUUGCAGUUGAAACUGGCAGUCUUGAAUACAGUAGAGGUGGGCAGAAUUCGUGGUGUAGCGGUGAAAUGCUUAGAUAUCACGAAGAACUCCGAUAGCGAAGGCAGUUCACUGGACUGCAACUGACACUGAGGCUCGAAAGUGUGAGUAUCAAACAGGAUUAGAUACCCGAGUAGUC